Molecule: ribosomal RNA, 575 nt
Filed under: uncultured bacterium
Lineage: Bacteria
Description: bacterial SSU rRNA
Rfam family: Bacterial small subunit ribosomal RNA
Source: RNAcentral
CCUACGGGAGGCAGCAGUGAGGAAUAUUGGACAAUGGGCGCAAGCCUGAUCCAGCCAUGCCGCGUGCAGGAAGACGGUCCUAUGGAUUGUAAACUGCUUUUGUACGGGAAGAAACACUCCUACGUGUAGGAGCUUGACGGUACCGUAAGAAUAAGGAUCGGCUAACUCCGUGCCAGCAGCCGCGGUAAUACGGAGGAUCCAAGCGUUAUCCGGAAUCAUUGGGUUUAAAGGGUCCGUAGGCGGUUUAGUAAGUCAGUGGUGAAAGCCCAUCGCUCAACGAUGGAACGGCCAUUGAUACUGCUAGACUUGAAUUACUAGGAAGUAACUAGAAUAUGUAGUGUAGCGGUGAAAUGCUUAGAUAUUACAUGGAAUACCAAUUGCGAAGGCAGGUUACUACUAGUGGAUUGACGCUGAUGGACGAAAGCGUGGGGAGCGAACAGGAUUAGAUACCCUGGUAGUCCACGCCGUAAACGAUGGAUACUAGCUGUUCGGGGCAACCUGAGUGGCUAAGCGAAAGUGAUAAGUAUCCACCUGGGGAGUACGUUCGCAAGAAUGAAACUCAAAGGAAUUGACGG